Hysterangium stoloniferum is the source of this 82-nucleotide non-coding RNA. NCBI's taxonomy places the organism in Eukaryota, Fungi, Basidiomycota, Agaricomycetes, Hysterangiales, Hysterangiaceae. The record is from the annotation of a GenBank genome assembly.
ACUCGGAUGGUGAAACGGUAUCAUGCUUGCCUUCCAUUACCUAAUGCAGCAAGCGGCACGGGUUCGACUCCCGUUCCGAGUA